GACGAACGCUGGCGGCGUGCUUAACACAUGCGAGUCGAACGGAAAGGCCCUGCUUUUGUGGGGUGCUCGAGUGGCGAACGGGUGAGUAACACGUGAGUAACCUGCCCUUGACUUUGGGAUAACUUCAGGAAACUGGGGCUAAUACCGGAUAGGAGCUCCUGCUGCAUGGUGGGGGUUGGAAAGGUUCGGCGGUUGGGGAUGGACUCGCGGCUUAUCAGCUUGUUGGUGGGGUAGUGGCUUACCAAGGCUUUGACGGGUAGCCGGCCUGAGAGGGUGACCGGCCACAUUGGGACUGAGAUACGGCCCAGACUCCUACGGGAGGCAGCAGUGGGGAAUAUUGCACAAUGGGCGGAAGCCUGAUGCAGCAACGCCGCGUGCGGGAUGACGGCCUUCGGGUUGUAAACCGCUUUCGCCUGUGACGAAGCGUGAGUGACGGUAAUGGGUAAAGAAGCACCGGCUAACUACGUG
RNAcentral lists this ribosomal RNA (468 nucleotides) under uncultured bacterium. RNAcentral describes it as "partial 16S ribosomal RNA". It matches the Rfam family "Bacterial small subunit ribosomal RNA", at positions 28 to 507 of the family's 1533-position model. The record is from RNAcentral.